RNAcentral lists this long non-coding RNA (1776 nucleotides) under Phasianus colchicus (ring-necked pheasant). RNAcentral describes it as "lncRNA (ENSPCLG00000019064.1)". The record is from RNAcentral. Lineage: Eukaryota; Metazoa; Chordata; Aves; Galliformes; Phasianidae.
GUAGAUCCCGUGUAGAUCCUGUGCCCAUCUCGUGUUGAUCCCAUGUUGCUUUGCUGCUCUACCCGUGUCCAUCCCAUGUUGAUCCCGUGUCCAUCCUGUGUUGAGCCCACAUCCAUCCCAUGUCCAUCUCAUGUUAAUCCCAUGUUGCUUCCAUGUUCCUCCCAUGUCCAUCCCAUGUCCAUCCUAUGUAGAGCCCAUGUCAACCCCGUGUUGAUCCCAUGUUGCUUUGCUGCUCUACCUGUGUCCAUCCCAUGUAGAUCCCGUGUUAAUCUCAUGUUGAUUCCCUGCUGUCCUCAUCUCCAUCCCAUGUUAAUCCCGUGUUGAUCCCAUGUUGAUUCACUGCUGUAAUCAUUUCUGUCCCAUGUAGAUCCCAUGUUAAUCCCGUGUUGAUUCGCUGCUGAACUCAUUCCUGUCCCGUGUCCAUCCCGUGUUCAUCCCAUGUUAAUUCCAUGUUGGAUUCACUGCUGUACUCGCCUCCAUCCCGUGUUCAUCUCAUGUUAAUCCCGUGUCCAUCCCAUGUUAAAUCCAUGUUAACCCCACGUUGGUCUCAUGUGGAUUCACUGCUGUAUUCAUUUCCAUCCCGUGUUCAUCCCGUGUUCAUCCCAUGUUCAUCCCAUGUCCAUCCCGUGUUGAUCCACUGCUGUACUCAUCUCCGUCCCAUGUUCAUCCCAUGUUCAUCCCAUGUCCAUCCCGUGUUGAUCCACUGCUGUACUCAUCUCCGUCCCGUGUUAAUCCAAUGUUCAUCCCAUGUUCAUCCCAUGUCCAUCCCAUGUUGAUCCACUGCUGUACUCAUCUCCGUCCCAUGUUAAUCCCAUGUCCAUCCCGUGUGGUCACAUGACCACCCCAUGUCCAAGCCAUGUUAGCUGCCUGCUGGUCACGUGACCACCCCACGUGCAUCCCGUGUUCCUUGCACGCUGCUCACAUGUGUUGCAUUGACAAGUCAGCACUUCAUCCCAUGUUAAUCCCGUGUCAAUCCCAUGUUAAUCCCAUGUUGAUUCACCAACGUGCCAGUUUUCAUCCCGUGUUAAUCCCAUGUUAACCCUGUGCCCAUCCCAUGUUCUUCCCAUGUUCGUGCCGUGUUAAUCCCGUGUUGAUUCACCACCGUGCCUGUUUUCAUCCCAUGAUGAUCCCAUGUUAAUCCCAUGUUGAUUCACCAUCGUGCCUGUCCCCAUCCCAUGUUAAUCCCAUGAUGAUCCCAUGUUGAUUCACCACCGUGCCUGUUUUCAUCCCAUGUUAAUUCCAUGUUGAUCCCAUGUUAAUCCCAUGUUAACCCCAUGUUGAUCCCAUGUUAAUCCCAUGUUGAUUCACCACUGUGCCUGUUUUCAUCCCAUGUCAAUCCCAUGUUAAUCCCAUGUUGAUUUACCACCCAUCCCAUGAUGAUCCCAUGUUAAUCCCAUGUGGACUCACCACCGUGCCUGUUUUCAUCCCAUGUUAAUCCCAUGUUGAUCCCAUGUCAAUCCCAUGUUAAUCCCAUGUGGAUUCACCACCGUGCCUGUCCCCACCCCAUGUUAAUUCCAUGUUGAUCCCAUGUUAAUCCCAUGUUGAUUCACCAUUGUGCCUGUCUCCAUCCCGUGUUAAUCCCGUGUUGGCUGCCUGGCGCUCACAUGACCUUCCCAUGUUCAUCUCAUGUUCACAGCUUUUGGUCACGCGUGUCAACUCAUGGACGUGUCGGUUCCAUGUCAGCACUUCAUCACGUGUUAUUCAUGCAUCCAUCCCAUGUUCAUCCCAUGUAGAACCCAUGUUGAUCCCAUGUUGGUCCCAUGUUGGUCCCAUGUU